AGUCCACUCUCAUCUCUCUCUCCCCAUCCAGGGGAAUGGAUCAGGAUGGUCACCUCCUGUGCUGCACAAGAGUCCUCAGACAUACUGUGAUUGCCAAGUGCCUGUUGUUGCAGGGUCUCAUCUCAAUUUCCCUGAGAGUGCACAGGGAAACUCGUUGUGUGCCAAGGGAGUUUGGAGAAGUAUGGCAGUAAAAGUGGGAUCUGUCUACAUGAGCAAGCACAGGCUGGACAUAGAUUCCCCUCUCACCCUCACGUAUGUAGCAGCUGUGUAGCUUGGCCUUCAUACAAGUCCUCCGCUAACUGGAGCUGGGGCUGCUCCUGACUCUAUUGCCUCAACAGGAGAGGGUGUGUUCAGUCUGGCUGGGACUUGAUGU
Molecule: long non-coding RNA, 373 nt
Filed under: Mus pahari (shrew mouse)
Lineage: Eukaryota; Metazoa; Chordata; Mammalia; Rodentia; Muridae
Description: lncRNA (MGP_PahariEiJ_G0012196.1)
Source: RNAcentral